Molecule: long non-coding RNA, 589 nt
Organism: Sarcophilus harrisii (Tasmanian devil)
Lineage: Eukaryota; Metazoa; Chordata; Mammalia; Dasyuromorphia; Dasyuridae
Exons: 3
Source: RefSeq, a predicted model, not a curated record
ACUAUCCGAGACUGGAGUUUGAUUUUUAGGUCUUUCUGUCUCCAGGCCAGAUGCUCUAUGCAGCUGCCUUAAAGAAAGCAGGAAAGUGGCUGGAUGUUAAAGCAAGAGUCGAAAGCAGAAAGUCUUUCAAGGGAAUGCAGGAUAUCUGAAUUUCAAUUUUGGCUCAGCUACUGUCUCAUUGGAUGAACAUGGAUACCUUUCAAGAUUUCAAGUUUUCCAGAUAUUUUUAAGAGGAAGAGAGUAAAAACCACAAUCAACAAAGGCAUCCCUGACCGAUAUAAAUAUGUGGCAACAAUUACUGUCAACGUGGAAGUAGCUGGAGCUUGGUUGCUGUAAUUCUUCCAGAAAAGAGGACUUCUGUGAGUGGAAUACAAAUAGAUUUAUUUUAGAUGUCUACCCACAAACUUUACAAUUAAAAAAUGUUUACAAAUGAGGCAAAUGAAUUCUGUAGUUAUAACUGAUAUAUACUGAGCUGGGUUGCUUGUUGACUUCAGACUGAGAUAUGUCAAAUAGAGUGACAGAUUACACAUUUGUAUGUCAAGGUUUCAAUAGGUUUAUUGGACUUACUAGUGGUAUUCUUGAAAAUUUU